UACGUAGGGUGCAAGCGUUGUCCGGAAUUAUUGGGCGUAAAGAGCUCGUAGGCGGUUUGUCGCGUCGAAUGUGAAAACCCGGGGCUCAACCCCGGGCCUGCAUUCGAUACGGGCAGACUAGAGUUCGGUAGGGGAGUCUGGAAUUCCUGGUGUAGCGGUGAAAUGCGCAGAUAUCAGGAGGAACACCGGUGGCGAAGGCGGCCUACUGGGCUGCACCUGACGCUGAGCCGCGAAAGCCAGGGGAGCGAACGGG
This 253-nucleotide ribosomal RNA is filed under the name uncultured bacterium. Its description in RNAcentral is "partial 16S ribosomal RNA". It matches the Rfam family "Bacterial small subunit ribosomal RNA", at positions 524 to 776 of the family's 1533-position model. The record is from RNAcentral.